UACAGAGGUCUCAAGCGUUGUUCGGAUUCAUUGGGCGUAAAGGGUGCGUAGGCGGCGCGGUAAGUCGGAAGUGAAAUCUCGGAGCUUAACUUCGAAACUGCAUUCGAUACUGCCGUGCUUGAGGACUGGAGAGGAGACUGGAAUUUACGGUGUAGCGGUGAAAUGCGUAGAUAUCGUAAGGAAGACCAGUGGCGAAGGCGGGUCUCUGGACAGUUCCUGACGCUGAGGCACGAAGGCCAGGGGAGCAAACGGG
Molecule: ribosomal RNA, 253 nt
Filed under: uncultured bacterium
Lineage: Bacteria
Description: partial 16S ribosomal RNA
Rfam family: Bacterial small subunit ribosomal RNA
Source: RNAcentral